Molecule: unclassified non-coding RNA, 221 nt
Filed under: Hevea brasiliensis (rubber tree)
Lineage: Eukaryota; Viridiplantae; Streptophyta; Magnoliopsida; Malpighiales; Euphorbiaceae
Source: RNAcentral
AAUCUGGCAUUGUCAACCCGGCAAAACCUGAUCCAGAAGACAUCUGUAAAUGGCUCACAAUCUUCAUCAUCCAUUGGUUUACAUUCUUCAAUUUCUCCGUAAGUGGAGAAUAGUUGAGAGAGCUGAUCACCACAACCCAACGCCGGAACAUUCCUCACAAUCAAAUAUCUGCAAAAACGUUCGUAAAAAAACUUGGAUUCAUCGCAAACAGUGUAAACACG